UCUGGUGACAAUGGCAAAGAGGUCACACCUGUUCCCAUGCCGAACACAGAAGUUAAGCU
This 59-nucleotide ribosomal RNA is filed under the name Staphylococcus xylosus. RNAcentral also lists the same sequence under 1 other name. Lineage: Bacteria; Bacillati; Bacillota; Bacilli; Caryophanales; Staphylococcaceae. The record is from RNAcentral.